GCCAGACUCCUACGGGAGGCAGCAGUGGGGGAUAUUGCACAAUGGGGGAAACCCUGAUGCAGCGACGCCGCGUGGGCGAAGAAGUAUUUCGGUAUGUAAAGCCCUAUCAGCAGGGAAGAAGAAAUGACGGUACCUGAGUAAGAAGCACCGGCUAAAUACGUGCCAGCAGCCGCGGUAAUACGUAUGGUGCAAGCGUUAUCCGGAUUUACUGGGUGUAAAGGGAGCGUAGACGGCAUGGCAAGUCUGAUGUGAAAACCCGGGGCUCAACCCCGGGACUGCAUUGGAAACUGUCAGGCUAGAGUGUCGGAGAGGCAAGUGGAAUUCCUAGUGUAGCGGUGAAAUGCGUAGAUAUUAGGAGGAACACCAGUGGCGAAGGCGGCUUACUGGACUGUAACUGACGUUGAGGCUCGAAAGCGUGGGGAGCAAACAGGAUUAGAUACCCCGGUA
Molecule: ribosomal RNA, 447 nt
Filed under: uncultured bacterium
Lineage: Bacteria
Description: partial 16S ribosomal RNA
Rfam family: Bacterial small subunit ribosomal RNA
Source: RNAcentral